Molecule: transfer RNA, 69 nt
Filed under: Moringua microchir (lesser thrush eel)
Lineage: Eukaryota; Metazoa; Chordata; Actinopteri; Anguilliformes; Moringuidae
Description: tRNA-His
Rfam family: tRNA
About the family: Transfer RNA (tRNA) molecules are approximately 80 nucleotides in length. Their secondary structure includes four short double-helical elements and three loops (D, anti-codon, and T loops). Further hydrogen bonds mediate the characteristic L-shaped molecular structure. tRNAs have two regions of fundamental functional importance: the anti-codon, which is responsible for specific mRNA codon recognition, and the 3' end, to which the tRNAs corresponding amino acid is attached (by aminoacyl-tRNA synthetases). tRNAs cope with the degeneracy of the genetic code in two manners: having more than one tRNA (with a specific anti-codon) for a particular amino acid; and 'wobble' base-pairing, i.e. permitting non-standard base-pairing at the 3rd anti-codon position.
Source: RNAcentral
GUAAACAUAGUUUAAUAAAAACGUUAGAUUGUGAUUCUAAAAAUAGGGGAUAAAAACUCCUUGUCUACC